RNAcentral lists this microRNA (21 nucleotides) under Homo sapiens (human). RNAcentral's name for it is "hsa-miR-625-5p". Its record names the gene hsa-miR-625-5p. The record is from miRBase by way of RNAcentral. Lineage: Eukaryota; Metazoa; Chordata; Mammalia; Primates; Hominidae.
AGGGGGAAAGUUCUAUAGUCC